CCUACGGGAGGCAGCAGUGGGGAAUUUUGGACAAUGGGCGCAAGCCUGAUCCAGCAAUGCCGCGUGAGUGAAGAAGGCCUUCGGGUUGUAAAGCUCUUUUGUCAGGGAAGAAACGGUGGGGGCUAAUAUCUCCUACUAAUGACGGUACCUGAAGAAUAAGCACCGGCUAACUACGUGCCAGCAGCCGCGGUAAUACGUAGGGUGCAAGCGUUAAUCGGAAUUACUGGGCGUAAAGCGUGCGCAGGCGGUUUUGUAAGUCUGUCGUGAAAGCCCCGGGCUCAACCUGGGAAUUGCGAUGGAGACUGCAAGGCUUGAAUCUGGCAGAGGGGGGUAGAAUUCCACGUGUAGCAGUGAAAUGCGUAGAGAUGUGGAGGAACACCGAUGGCGAAGGCAGCCCCCUGGGUCAAGAUUGACGCUCAUGCACGAAAGCGUGGGGAGCAAACAGGAUUAGAUACCCUGGUAGUCCACGCCCUAAACGAUGUCUACUAGUUGUCGGUUUUAAUUAACGUUGGUAACGCAGCUAACGCGUAGAAGUAGACCGCCGUGGGGUAGUACGGUCGCGAAGAAUUAAAACGUUAAAGGAAGUUAGACGGCGUGAGACGUAGCGACGACGACGACGAGGGAGGAGG
Molecule: ribosomal RNA, 629 nt
Filed under: uncultured bacterium
Lineage: Bacteria
Description: bacterial SSU rRNA
Rfam family: Bacterial small subunit ribosomal RNA (bases 1-543)
Source: RNAcentral